UCCGUAGGUGAACCUGCGGAAGGAUCAUUAUUGAACCUAAGCAAGCCUGGCAAUUUAUUUUGCAAGGUUUUGCGCGUAUUUAAAACCCCACACUUUUGAAAAUAACAUGUAUUUUACUUAAAAUAAGUAAUUAAAAGAUCACUUUCAACAACGGAUCUCUUGGCUCUCGCAUCGAUGAAGAACGUAGCGAAGUGCGAUAAGUAGUGUGAAUUGCAGAAUUCCGUGGAUCAUCGAAUUUUUGAACGCAAAUUGCACUCUCUGGUAUUCCGGAGAGUAUGCCUGUUUGAGGGUCAUCAAAAUCAAAAUCGAUUUGUUACUUUGGUAACUUGGUAACGUUUCGGAAUUGGGUCAUCUUAAACCUUCAGGUUCAAGAGGCUUAAAAUUGAUCAUUUUUUGGUAUGAAUUAAGCGUAUUUAAGAUCUCUUAUCACGCGCUUGACUCCUAUCGGAUGUUUAUUAGGCGUGACCGUGAUCAUGGUUUCGCGCCCAUAAUCUUUCAUGAAAUGACCUCAAAUCAGGUAGGAAUACCCGCUGAACUUAA
This 540-nucleotide ribosomal RNA is filed under the name uncultured fungus. RNAcentral's name for it is "eukaryotic LSU rRNA". The stretch from base 140 to 293 matches the Rfam family "5.8S ribosomal RNA". The record is from RNAcentral. Lineage: Eukaryota; Fungi.